Girardinichthys multiradiatus is the source of this 958-nucleotide long non-coding RNA. RefSeq lists it as uncharacterized. The record is from RefSeq and is a predicted model, not a curated record. The transcript has 2 exons. Lineage: Eukaryota; Metazoa; Chordata; Actinopteri; Cyprinodontiformes; Goodeidae.
CUUUCAUGUCACGAGCUCUGACACCUUCUGAUCAUCAGCAUGCCAUUACCUCCAGUGCCUUAAGUGAUGUCCUACUUUACUUUCUACCAUCCUGGUUAUGGAGACUCUCAACCAGAUUUCUGCUUCUAUCAUGGCGCUGCAGCAUCAAUCCGCAGUGGUGAGCGAGGAACCUGAGAUUGGACGCAUAGAUAAGUGUAAUGGAGUGGCACGAUGGAUUGCUUGCCACUCUGAACAUGUUUAAAUGUCAGCCUUCUAAGUACUACACUUCCUGCUCUAAGGUUGCAAUGUUAACCUCCCUUUUAUCUGGCCAUGCCAGGAGCGGGCAUCAGCUCUCUAUAAGUCACCAGCCCGCAAUAAUCAUACCCAAUUCAUGCAGCAGUUGAAGAAGUUCUUCAUUCCCCCUAGUAGCAAAGUGGAAGUGAAAUCAAAAUUCCUUCAAUUAUGUCAGGGAAAUCAGCCUUUUUGUCAUUUUGUGUAUGAAUUCUGCCUCUUUGUUAUGAUUUAGGGUUGUUUCAUUUUUGGCUUCAGGUUUUUUCCUUAUAUGUUUUUCACUGCUCAAGUUUUGAAUCAUGCUUCUGUUGAUUAUUUUCCUGUUAAUGCUUUUGUUUUAUGUUUUUCUAGUUAUGGUUCUAUUAGUUUGUUUCCUUGGAUUUGCGUUCUGUUCAACCCAUGUUUUGCGCCUGUCACAUUUUGUUCUCUGUUAAUUAUCUUUAUCCGGUUCACCUGCUCCAAUCUAAUCUGUCUCCUAGCUCCACCUGGUUUACGCUCCAUAAAUACACACCUGUUCUGUCAUUAGGCGCAGAAACAUUUCUCAAAUCAUGUCUUGUUUACAGAUCAUGAUCAUGUCUUGCUUUUUGGACCAUGCCAUGCCUGUCUAGCCAGCCUGUUAUUGUUUUGUUCCUGCCUCUUCUUGUUAGAGAGUUUUUUGUAAAUUAAAUCCUUUUUUUACUUACCGUCA